UGGAGCAUGUGGUUUAAUUCGACGCUACGCGAAGAACCUUACCUGGGCUUGAACUGCUGGUGGUAGAAGCCCGAAAGGGUAACGACCCGGAGCAAUCCGGGAGCCAGUAGAGGUGCUGCAUGGCUGUCGUCAGCUCGUGUCGUGAGAUGUUGGGUUAAGUCCCGCAACGAGCGCAACCCUUACCCUUAGUUGCCAGCGGGUAAUGCCGGGCACUCUAAGGGGACCGCCCCGGAUAACGGGGAGGAAGGCGGGGAUGACGUCAAGUCAGCAUGGCCCUUAUGUCCAGGGCUACACACGUGCUACAAUGGGCGAUACAGAGGGAAGCAAGGCCGCAAGGUAGAGCUAAUCCCUAAAGUCGUCCUCAGUUCGGAUUGCAGGCUGCAACUCGCCUGCAUGAAGUCGGAAUCGCUAGUAAUCGCGGAUCAGCUACGCCGCGGUGAAUACGUUCUCGGGCCUU
Molecule: ribosomal RNA, 457 nt
Filed under: uncultured Aminicenantes bacterium
Lineage: Bacteria; Candidatus Aminicenantota
Description: bacterial SSU rRNA
Rfam family: Bacterial small subunit ribosomal RNA
Source: RNAcentral